Molecule: long non-coding RNA, 1332 nt
Organism: Poecile atricapillus (Black-capped chickadee)
Lineage: Eukaryota; Metazoa; Chordata; Aves; Passeriformes; Paridae
Exons: 3
Source: RefSeq, a predicted model, not a curated record
AAAUUUUAAAUCAUCUGUCUCCGGUUGAGCUCUUGCUGUAGGAGCACCAACCCGACGAGCAUCAUUUUUGUCGGUGCAUAGAGGAAAGCUGUAGGUGAAACCACAGGAACCCCCUUUGCCUGACAGGAGCUUUACAAAGGAAGGUCAGUCACCAGGUACCCAUUACGCAGGCAAAGGAAGCCGAGACUCAUGCAAAGCCUCUGGCAAAGGUGGAAACAAAACCUCGGGCUGUGAUCCUGCAUUAGCAGCCGUCUGGAUCUGCCUGCCUCGAGCUCCUUACAGAUGAGCAGUCUGGGACUGGACCGGUGAAGAGGUAACUCCCUUUGUGCCUGCUGUUUCUGCUGAUCCCCCAAAACGCUGCUGCCUCUCGCUGCUGCUGGUGCCACCCAGACCUCUCCCACCGCAGCACUCGGUCGCAGCAGGGCUCAACACCCGGCUACUCCCACUGAUGUCUCCAGGACGGGGCAAGAGCUGUGGUGACCCUCAGAGUUCAGCUCUAGGCACAAGCCGAAAGCCUCAUAUUUUACUAAAAUGUGUUUCUGGUCAUUGUAAUUCUGCACUGCUCCCUUCUUUAUGAUGGAGAACCUUCUCUGCUUCCCAAGGCUACUGAUGCUUCUGAUCCCAGCCUGCCUCCCUGCAGGGGGAGACACAAGAGGAGAUGUGGAGAAGUGUCAGAGAGUGUUGGAGAAGAGCAGAGGACAAAACUAGAGGAGUGGGCUGCUACAGGAACCAGCUUCACUUCUUGGCAUUGCAUUCUGCUGUAGCAUGCCUCCAGGCUAUCCCAUAGGUCUGUGAGAUCUGUGUUAACUCCAUGUGCAUCAAGGCUGGCAUGACACAGGAGUUUAAAAUAUAAACCAAACUCACUCCUUGCCAGAAGAAAUGGAGGAAGGGGUCAUCAGAGAUGUCUGCAGGACUCAGCAUGUGUGGCCUGGGCAUGGAAGUGGUGCUCCCUGGCCCUGUGGCUGGCAGGUGGAGCACGAACAGGGACACAGGAACAUCCAAACCCGUGUGUGACAUACUUAGGCAAAUGCUAAAGCUGUUGGCUUCAAAGCACAGGUUAUUCUGCUCGUCUUCAGGAAAAGGUGCUGAACUUGAUGGACUGCUUGGACAACAAUUCCUGAAUGCCUCUCAGGUUCAAUAUCACCAGGGACAUUAAAGACUCUCGUCCACUUACAGUUUGUCCCAAGACAGGAAAAUUAAUGGGCAUGUUUUCACCAACAAGGACUGUUCUGAUCUUAUAUGUUUUUAAAUGUUGUUACCAAAUAAAGCCACAUUUGGUAAAUAAAAAACAGCCUUAACAGGUCCUGACCUUGGCCCCUGACUGGCUGUGAA